Non-coding RNA from Momordica charantia (bitter melon), 2978 nucleotides. NCBI's taxonomy places the organism in Eukaryota, Viridiplantae, Streptophyta, Magnoliopsida, Cucurbitales, Cucurbitaceae. The record is from RefSeq and is a predicted model, not a curated record.
UUUACUCUUAUUUCCUUUGGAUCUCUACUUUUUCUCACUCUCCCAACAUUCACUGAUUUUGGUCAUUUAAUUUUGAUCGAAAUGGAAAUUGUGGAAAACUGAUUUUCAGGUGUAGGAAUUCGACGUUUUCUCUUUUUUUUUUGGAAAACCAUUACGAAGAAAAUCAUUUAUAAGAGAAAUAGUCCCAACAGAGAUUGAUUCAAUGGCUACAAUUUUUCUUCAAUACUGCAGAACUCGGAAGUGAAAUAAAAUUCCAAGAAAACAAGAUCACAGGCCCUCAACGAUUUUCAAUUACACAAGUAAAAAAUUACAAAGAGAAUGAGUGUGACAAAUUUUGGGUGGAGGCCCUUCAGUUCCCAUGGGGUUGCUGCGAAUAAGAAGACACAGAACAAAAUUAGCUUUUAUUUAGGCACAGAUAAUCUUCAAUGGAGCAAAUAUAUCAUUCUUCUCAAUUAAAGAGGUUUCGGGUGACUCUCGCCAUCACAAAUUCUGAAUGUUACGGAACCAAUUGCUACCUAUCACAGAAAAAGAAACGCGUACCGCACACGGGGUUGACCGGGUCAACAGCUUAAGGAAAAGUAAAUGAACCAAACGCGUAAAUUACACGCAGAUGACACGGAAUCUCCAUCCUAUAUAAGGGUUCUGUGCGUCUUCUUCUUCUCAGUCCAGACUCGAAGGCCACCGCGACGAAAAAAUCGAACGACAGAUUCUCCUCUCAUCUUCUCCUGCCAAUUCCAUGGCGCGAUUCUGGCGAGUCCAUCCAUCCAUCUAUUGGGGAACUCACAACAGCGUUAGCGCUAGGGGGCUAUGUUUUCCAACUUCAGGAUGAUCGUUAACAUGGAAGCCUAGGAUUGCGUACCACUUGAAACCGCUGUACAAUUCGUUCGUAUUUGGUCUCGAAUGCUUUCGCUUAGUGAGAUAUUUAAGUGACUGUCUCUGUGAUUGUCGACGGCAAGGUCUGCACUAACUUCAACGCCCAAUUUGCCCGUGUUGCCGUCGAGAAAUCCUACACCGAAGAGUCGCCUUCCAUUCAGACAUCAAACCCACUCAUUCUAUGAUUGGAAGUAAAUUUAUAGGUUUACCAGUGUAUAUGGAGUACUGAUGCAUGGGUAAGCACUCUCUCAAAGACAUCUUGGAACUGGCUUGUGCGUGGUUGGGUAUUAAUUUCUUAAGUUUUCCUAUUUCUUCUGUUAACUUACUUAGGUUUGUUAUUGGCCAUUUAUUUUUUAGUUGAGUUUAUUAGCGUGAUUCUAUUUCUAUCAUAAUGUAUCCUUCCGUCUUAGAAUUUUCCUGUGAUUAGUCAUUAUCUCGAAUGCCAAUAAUUAUGUUCAAACUAAGACUAAAUAAGUAUCGGUUUUUGGAUAUGUUGAGAAACGUUUGGGAGUCUAAAUUGACAAAAUAAUAUAAUAAGAUCUUACAAGCCCUUGUAUAUUCUUCUAUUUUUCUUGACGGGAGUUCGAUUUCUCAUAAUAAAAAAAAUCUGUCAUGCUUACAAAUGUUGUCUGUACAACAUAAGUUUGUGAAGUUGAGUUUAGAUUUUGGGAUGCUUAAUCUAGAUUACAUUUUUGCUAAGACCGUAUGUUACUUUGAUUCAAAUUUUAGAAACACGAGCUUUCAACUAUUAAAAAGAUAUACAUAUAGAUGGAAACACACGCAUAAAAACAAAAGCCAUUGCCUUCCAAGUAGAUCGUUAUUUUAUUAUUAUUAUUUUUUUAUGAAACAAAGAUCAUGAUAUUUUAUUAGCUUAAUAACGUUGUAAUUCGUAUUUACUAUUCGAGCACAACAGUCGGUUCAUUUUGCUUGGUGUUGAUGAAAUUAAACUGCGCAGGACUUCAUGUGAAGCAAGAAUGUCCACUUGCUUUCGAGUAUGUGCAUUGAAUGUAUGCUUUAUUUAUUAUUUUUAUAUAGCAGUAAUUUUGUUUACUGUUUUUCUUGACAUGUAGUCCCAUAUUUAGUGCUGUUAGAAAUCAAAUAAUAAGAUAUUUGAAAAUAGGGAGAGGAAAAGCUCGUGAAUAGGAUGAAAUUGGAAGUUCCACUUCCAUCUUGCUGACUUGAAUGACCACUCACAGUGUAAAAUAUCAUUCUUUAGUUUAGAUCUGAGGAAGACUAUUGAAUUUUUUAAAAAAAUGUUUAAUGUGACGGUGUGUAUAUAUAUAUACAUUUAACAUACACCUAUUUCAAGAGGUUAUGAAUUCAAGAUGAGUUUAUUAUAUCAUAGAAUCUUCGGCUAGUUAAAUAUCACUAGCAGACGAUGGAGAAUGUUAACUGAUGGGUAAGUAGAUAAAAAGUAUAGUGAAAAUGGCAUGAUUCUUCUUUUAGUAGAACAAUACUUGAGCUUUUAAUAUUUGGUAAUAACGUUUGUGAGAAUUAGUUCAAUUUUUGUACAAAUUUGAUAUUUAGCGGAGCCAAGACAAAUUGAUUAAUUUGGUUGUGUGUAUCUAUGUAUAUAAACUUUACAAAUCUGAUUAUUCAAAAAUGGUGUUACAUUUUCAGCCUAACUGCAAUAAUCUUGGUAGUAUCUAGUAAUCAACAAUAAGGGGAAAUAAACCUUUUGAAAUAGUCUAUUUUCUUUCGUUAUGAUAGGUGUUGCUCUGAAUAUUAAUGUCUUCCCAUUGAAAAACAUUCCUUAACAAUUAUUCAUUGCAAUUUUCUUGUUAUAGUUUGGUGACUGACUCACAUCAUGUGUUCGUAUAUUCAGUAUUUGAAAGGUUCGCCCUCGUAACAUUAUGGGAAGCUGAAAAUUUUUGAGUUGCUUUCAACACUUGAGGGAAAGCUGAACAUGCACGAGACAUUGCUGCUACGUUAUCAAGUAUUCUCAGACUCAUCUGUGCAAAUCUCAAAGGCAUCAAUGUUAGCACUUGUUAGAUAGAAGAGUAUUGCCAUUUUUCUCAACAUUUCCUUUUGUUUGUCUAUUCCAUAUGUAUAAUAUAAUAUAUUCACGCUCAAACUUACAAUUUAGUGCAAUAUAAAUACUAUUA